This 492-nucleotide ribosomal RNA is filed under the name uncultured bacterium. RNAcentral describes it as "partial 16S ribosomal RNA". It matches the Rfam family "Bacterial small subunit ribosomal RNA", at positions 29 to 507 of the family's 1533-position model. The record is from RNAcentral.
AGUGAACGCUGGCGGUAGGCCUAACACAUGCAAGUCGAACGGCAGCACAGUAAGAGCUUGCUCUUACGGGUGGCGAGUGGCGGACGGGUGAGGAAUACAUCGGAAUCUACUUUUUCGUGGGGGAUAACGUAGGGAAACUUACGCUAAUACCGCAUACGACCUACGGGUGAAAGCAGGGGAUCUUCGGACCUUGCGCGUUUGAAUGAGCCGAUGUCGGAUUAGCUAGUUGGCGGGGUAAAGGCCCACCAAGGCGACGAUCCGUAGCUGGUCUGAGAGGAUGAUCAGCCACACUGGAACUGAGACACGGUCCAGACUCCUACGGGAGGCAGCAGUGGGGAAUAUUGGACAAUGGGCGCAAGCCUGAUCCAGCCAUACCGCGUGAGUGAAGAAGGCCUUCGGGUUGUAAAGCCCUUUUGUUGGGAAAGAAAAGCAGCAGGUGAAUACCCCGCUGUUCUGACGGUACCCAAAGAAUAAGCACCGGCUAACUUCGUG